RNAcentral lists this ribosomal RNA (272 nucleotides) under Escherichia coli. RNAcentral's name for it is "partial 23S ribosomal RNA". It matches the Rfam family "Bacterial large subunit ribosomal RNA", at positions 2671 to 2925 of the family's 2925-position model. The record is from RNAcentral. Lineage: Bacteria; Pseudomonadati; Pseudomonadota; Gammaproteobacteria; Enterobacterales; Enterobacteriaceae.
GCUGCUCCUAGUACGAGAGGACCGGAGUGGACGCAUCACUGGUGUUCGGGUUGUCAUGCCAAUGGCACUGCCCGGUAGCUAAAUGCGGAAGAGAUAAGUGCUGAAAGCAUCUAAGCACGAAACUUGCCCCGAGAUGAGUUCUCCCUGACUCCUUGAGAGUCCUGAAGGAACGUUGAAGACGACGACGUUGAUAGGCCGGGUGUGUAAGCGCAGCGAUGCGUUGAGCUAACCGGUACUAAUGAACCGUGAGGCUUAACCUUACAACGCCGAAG